AGUGAACGCUGGCGGUAGGCCUAACACAUGCAAGUCGAACGGCAGCACAGGAGAGCUUGCUCUCUGGGUGGCGAGUGGCGGACGGGUGAGGAAUACAUCGGAAUCUACUUUUUCGUGGGGGAUAACGUAGGGAAACUUACGCUAAUACCGCAUACGACCUACGGGUGAAAGCAGGGGACCUUCGGGCCUUGCGCGAUUGAAUGAGCCGAUGUCGGAUUAGGUAGUUGGCGGGGUAAAGGCCCACCAAGGCGACGAUCCGUAGCUGGUCUGAGAGGAUGAUCAGCCACACUGGAACUGAGACACGGUCCAGACUCCUACGGGAGGCAGCAGUGGGGAAUAUUGGACAAUGGGCGCAAGCCUGAUCCAGCCAUACCGCGUGGGUGAAGAAGGCCUUCGGGUUGUAAAGCCCUUUUGUUGGGAAAGAAAUCCAGCUGGCUAAUACCCGGUUGGGAUGACGGUACCCCAAGAAUAAGCACCGGCUAACUUCGUGCCAGCCGCCGCAGUAA
This 506-nucleotide ribosomal RNA is filed under the name uncultured bacterium. RNAcentral describes it as "partial 16S ribosomal RNA". It matches the Rfam family "Bacterial small subunit ribosomal RNA", at positions 29 to 523 of the family's 1533-position model. The record is from RNAcentral.